UACGGAGGAUCCGAGCGUUAUCCGGAUUUAUUGGGUUUAAAGGGUGCGUAGGUGGUUUGAUAAGUCAGCGGUGAAAGUUUGCAGCUUAACUGUAAAAAUGCCGUUGAUACUGUAUGUCUUGAGUGUACAAGAGGUGGGCGGAAUUCGUGGUGUAGCGGUGAAAUGCAUAGAUAUCACGCAGAACUCCGAUUGCGAAGGCAGCUUACUAAGCUACAACUGACACUGAAGCACGAAAGCGUGGGGAUCAAAC
Molecule: ribosomal RNA, 250 nt
Filed under: uncultured bacterium
Lineage: Bacteria
Description: partial 16S ribosomal RNA
Rfam family: Bacterial small subunit ribosomal RNA
Source: RNAcentral